Non-coding RNA from Zea mays, 76 nucleotides. The record is from Rfam. Lineage: Eukaryota; Viridiplantae; Streptophyta; Magnoliopsida; Poales; Poaceae.
GUUCCCAGUGAUGGUAUACAUUAACCAUGCUAAUACUGAUGUCCUUUGACUAGUAAAACAAUGUGUUAAGGAAAUA